AUCGCGGUGGUCGGGGUGCCGUUCGACACCGGCGUGACCUACCGGCCGGGUGCCCGGUUCGGUCCGGCCGCGAUCC
Molecule: transfer RNA, 76 nt
Filed under: Mycolicibacterium boenickei
Lineage: Bacteria; Bacillati; Actinomycetota; Actinomycetes; Mycobacteriales; Mycobacteriaceae
Description: tRNA-Val
Source: RNAcentral